UCCCGCUCUCUCUGCCCAGUGAUCUACGGACAGGGGUCACGGGUCACGCAGAUGCUGCACACGACCCACGCCACAACUCCCACGCGCUGGCGGGGACCUGCGGAAUCGGGAAGAGAUGAGCGCCGGGUGAUGGUCCCUCGUUGUUGUUCUGGUGGAGAGGGGCCGCGACAGCUGCGGUGCGCGACACCCGCGGGCCAGGGACUCCUGCUGAAGCUCACGCCGUCUUCCCCUCGUGGUCAUCUCUGUGCGCCAUGCCCCCCGUGCCUGCCUGCCUCCCAGCGAGUCCGUUUGUUCCGGUGGCAUCUACAGGAACCAUUCCCAUUUAACUUGGACGCCGAACCCAGACUCAAGGUACUCGCAGCAUUCAGUCAGAAACACCACACGGCGCCCACGAAAGCGCUCGCCCCAGCAAAGCCGACGAACGGUCAAACUUGAAGAGAGACCAACGCCGUCUUCAGAACGGGUGCCCUCUGCCCAGCAGAAAUUGACCAUAGCUAAAAGCGUCUCUUCCAGGAGACACACAGAGGCAAAGUUAGACAGACGCAGAGACAGACAGGCGGAAAGACAGAUAGAUGACCUUCCAUGAGCAAGGAAAAAGCCCACCGAGAUCAAAAUCUCUUCUUCACGAGAGACCAUGUCUGGCUUGAGCACGGCAUGCCCGCACGUUCGUUCGUCCGCCCGCUUACCCGUGCACUCCGCACUUUAUGGGUCCGAGCGAUAGAAAAUGCACGAGGGAGCGUGGUGCCUCUUCCCAGCCUGACCCCCUGGCAGUUGCCUCCGCAAAAUAAAGUCGCACCUGCCGUGCUCAGUUACUGUACGAUAAACUUCUGGGCACACCGUUGCCUCCUCGCUUGCUCCCUCCAUCGCUCGCUCGCUCCAUUCCAGCUCGCAGGGUUCGGGACGCACCUUUUGUGUUCCACCUCUCCUGCUGAUGCGCACCCCGUUAGCGGCUCGGUGCAGCCGCCAGUCAGUUACGUUCAAUCGCCGAACGUGGGUUUGGGGGCCAUAGCCGGUAACAACCAUCUGGCCGCUGCGUAGAGCUGCCCAAUGUGUUUAUCCCCGGCAACUGUCCACGCGGACCCCCCCCUCCCACUGCCCGCCUGCCGACUACCAAGCCGUAAAAAAACAAAAAAACGCACCGGCCGUCAACUUUCAUAAGAAUGUUUUUUCAUCCCAGCAAAAAGUUUCGAGAAAAAAUAAAAACUGAAGUAAACAAACAAGCACAAAAAAAGCCUAAAUUUUUUUUUCAUUCCCGCAAAAAAGUUUGUUGUUGUUUUGGUUUAACGGAUGACAGAUGCAGCAGAUGUACGCCCGUCUCCAUCAAUGACAGCUCGUCUUUGCGUUUGGUGACUUUUAGCGAGAGCACGGUUAUUUUUAGCGAACUCGGUGACGAGUCGCGGCCAAGUUUUAGCGGUAACGAGCGCCGCUCGCGUGUCGCCUCCAUCUGCUGGCCCCGCGGUGACGGGCAGUGGGCAGGUGCCAGGGGUCGGAGGUUGACUGUCGCCGCGGGAACGGGGCAGGGAGCGGAGUCAGGUGACAGCUGUAAGUGACAGCGCUAUAAUCCCUCCGGUGCGAGCCGACGUGAAGACGAUCGCUCGCACGGGAAAACACUCGCACGCGUGCACACACACACACACGUGCGCACGCGUGCACACACACACGUGCGCACGUGUA
Long non-coding RNA from Petromyzon marinus (sea lamprey), 1674 nucleotides. RefSeq lists it as uncharacterized. NCBI's taxonomy places the organism in Eukaryota, Metazoa, Chordata, Hyperoartia, Petromyzontiformes, Petromyzontidae. The record is from RefSeq and is a predicted model, not a curated record.